Molecule: ribosomal RNA, 253 nt
Filed under: uncultured bacterium
Lineage: Bacteria
Description: partial 16S ribosomal RNA
Rfam family: Bacterial small subunit ribosomal RNA
Source: RNAcentral
UACGUAGGGCGCAAGCGUUGUCCGGAAUUAUUGGGCGUAAAGAGCUCGUAGGCGGCUUGUCGCGUCGUCCGUGAAAACUUGGGGCUCAACCCCAAGCUUGCGGUCGAUACGGGCAGGCUAGAGUUCGGUAGGGGAGACUGGAAUUCCUGGUGUAGCGGUGAAAUGCGCAGAUAUCAGGAGGAACACCGGUGGCGAAGGCGGGUCUCUGGGCCGAUACUGACGCUGAGGAGCGAAAGCGUGGGGAGCAAACGGG